GGCCCUACGGGGCGCAGCAGGCGCGAAAACUUUACCAUGCGGGCAACCGUGAUAAGGAAACCCCGAGUGCCAGCACAGGCUGGCUGUCCGCCAGUUUAAACAACUGGCGAAGAAAGGGCCGGGCAAGACCGGUGCCAGCCGCCGCGGUAAUACCGGCGGCUCGAGUGGUGGCCGCUAUUACUGGGCUUAAAGGGUCCGUAGCUUGAUAAUAGGGUCCCUUGAGAAAUCCGCCGGCUUAACUGGCGGGCGUUCAGGGGAAACUUGUUUUCUAGGGACCGGGAGAGGUGAGGGGUACUGCCGGGGUAGGAGUGAAAUCCUGUAAUCCUAGGGGGACCACCUGUGGCGAAGGCGUCUAACUGGAACGGGUCUGACGGUGAGGGACGAAACCUAGGGGAGCGAGCCGGAUUAGAUACCCGGGUAGUCCUAGGCGUAAAUGAUGCGAGUUAAGUGUGGGGACAUCUACGAGAUGGCCCUGUGCUGUAGGGUAGCCGUUAAACUCGCCGCCUGGGGAGUACGGUCGCAAGGCUGAAACUUAAAGGAAUUGGCGGGGGAGCACCACAACGGGUGGAGCUUGCGGUUUAAUUGGAUUCAACGCCGGAAAUCUUACCG
This 609-nucleotide ribosomal RNA is filed under the name uncultured archaeon. RNAcentral describes it as "bacterial SSU rRNA". It matches the Rfam family "Archaeal small subunit ribosomal RNA", at positions 319 to 932 of the family's 1478-position model. The record is from RNAcentral.